CUUAGUUUGCUACAGUUUGCUGAGAACUUAGGGAGACUGCCGGUGACAAACCGGAGGAAGGUGGGGAUGACGUCAAGUCAUCAUGGCCCUUAUGGGGUGGGCUACACACGUGCUACAAUGGUGCAUACAGAGGGCGGCGAAGCCGCGAGGUGGAGCAAAUCCCAGAAAAUGCAUCGUAGUGCGCAGUCUGCAACUCGCUGCGUGAAGUCGGAAUCGCUAGUAAUCGCGAAUCAAGGAUGUCG
Molecule: ribosomal RNA, 242 nt
Filed under: uncultured bacterium
Lineage: Bacteria
Description: partial 16S ribosomal RNA
Rfam family: Bacterial small subunit ribosomal RNA
Source: RNAcentral